GGGCAUUUGGUCUAGUGGUAUGAUUCUCGCUUUGGGUGCAAGAGGUCCCGCGAGUUCGAUUCUCGGAAUGCCCC
Molecule: transfer RNA, 74 nt
Filed under: Punica granatum (pomegranate)
Lineage: Eukaryota; Viridiplantae; Streptophyta; Magnoliopsida; Myrtales; Lythraceae
Rfam family: tRNA
About the family: Transfer RNA (tRNA) molecules are approximately 80 nucleotides in length. Their secondary structure includes four short double-helical elements and three loops (D, anti-codon, and T loops). Further hydrogen bonds mediate the characteristic L-shaped molecular structure. tRNAs have two regions of fundamental functional importance: the anti-codon, which is responsible for specific mRNA codon recognition, and the 3' end, to which the tRNAs corresponding amino acid is attached (by aminoacyl-tRNA synthetases). tRNAs cope with the degeneracy of the genetic code in two manners: having more than one tRNA (with a specific anti-codon) for a particular amino acid; and 'wobble' base-pairing, i.e. permitting non-standard base-pairing at the 3rd anti-codon position.
Source: Rfam by way of RNAcentral